AGUGAACGCUGGCGGCGUGCUUAACACAUGCAAGUCGAACGAGUAAGUGCUGUAGCAAUACAGAUUACUGCUAGUGGCAGACGGGUGAGUAAUACAUGGGAAUCUUCCUUGAAGUCUGGAAUAACUGUUGGAAACGACAGCUAAUACCGGAUGAUACCUUAGGGUCAAAGAUUUAUCGCUUCGAGAUGAGCCCAUGCAAGAUUAGCUAGUUGGUAGGGUAAUGGCCUACCAAGGCGAUGAUCUUUAGCUGGUCUGAGAGGAUGAUCAGCCACACUGGAACUGAGACACGGUCCAGACUCCUACGGGAGGCAGCAGUGGGGAAUAUUGGACAAUGGGCGAAAGCCUGAUCCAGCGACGCCGCGUGAGUGAUGAAGG
This 375-nucleotide ribosomal RNA is filed under the name uncultured bacterium. RNAcentral describes it as "bacterial SSU rRNA". It matches the Rfam family "Bacterial small subunit ribosomal RNA", at positions 29 to 414 of the family's 1533-position model. The record is from RNAcentral.